This 280-nucleotide ribosomal RNA is filed under the name uncultured soil bacterium. RNAcentral's name for it is "partial 16S ribosomal RNA". It matches the Rfam family "Bacterial small subunit ribosomal RNA", at positions 27 to 307 of the family's 1533-position model. The record is from RNAcentral.
CGGACGAACGCUGGCGGCGUGCUUAACACAUGCAAGUCGAGCGGUAAGGCCCUUUCGGGGGUACACGAGCGGCGAACGGGUGAGUAACACGUGAGUAAUCUGCCCUCCACUUGGGGAUAAGCUUCGGAAACGGGGUCUAAUACCUGAUACGACAACUACCUGCAUGGGUUGGUUGUGGUAAAGUUUUUCGGUGGGGGAUGUGCUCGCGGCCUAUCAGCUUGUUGGUGGGUAAUGGCCUACCAAGGCUUCGACGGGUAGCCCGGCCUGAGAGGGUGACCGG